RNAcentral lists this unclassified non-coding RNA (241 nucleotides) under soil metagenome. RNAcentral's name for it is "partial internal transcribed spacer 1". The record is from RNAcentral.
CCAAUGAUUAGGGAACCAGUUGAGGUUGAUAGAUCUCCUGGUUGCUAAAAUCAAAUACCCAUCUUUGUGCACCUUUUUUAUGUCUCUGGUGGUCGCAAGAGAAGUCUCUUAUUUGGAGGAUCUCUUCUAGUUCAUUUUGAUCCUCGGACAAAUGAAUGAAGCCACCAAAUGGUUGCUAUAACACACCUUUUUUGCCGUCCAAAAUAUCUGUCUAACAUUGAUUUGUGUAAAAUACAUAAAA